UCUCUCUCUCUCUCUCUCUCAUGGUGGUGCUGUUAUUGUUGUUUUCCCCCUUUCUCGUGUGUGUUCUUUACUUUUCAUGGCGGAUGGUAAUUUAUUGUCACCAACUUAUAUUUUAUUGACCAUGUUAAAUUGGAGUGAUUAAUAUGUAUCUAUGUGCAAAGGGGAGGGAAUGGGGAUUAACAUGUAAAUAAAUGUUUGCUUGCUUUUCAUGUUUCGAUUGUUGGUUGACCAGAGGUUAUGAACUUUGUUGGCAGCUUCUGCUGCCACUUAGGAUUGUUCAAGUGGGUGAGGACACCACAAUUAUAUAUUCCUUCUGGUGUAUUUUAGACACGAGCAACUAAGGAGAUCAUUAGAAAUAUUUAUUACGUAAAAAUUGUGAAUUUAAAAAUUAUUGUAACCAAGUCAUGGUUAUUUAAGGUGACACUGGAUCUCCAAAGAAAUUACUGGUUUCAUCAUUAAAUAGAAGCUCUUGGUGACAUGCGUGAAAUCUUGACCUCCUAUUUUACCAAGUUGUUCUUUGAAUUUUAUUUGUUUCUAUUAUUAAUUUUUUUUCUGCACUGAAAGUUGUAUAAAAAGGGCAGUUAAUUUGUCGAAUUAUAG
Molecule: unclassified non-coding RNA, 600 nt
Filed under: Hevea brasiliensis (rubber tree)
Lineage: Eukaryota; Viridiplantae; Streptophyta; Magnoliopsida; Malpighiales; Euphorbiaceae
Source: RNAcentral